RNAcentral lists this ribosomal RNA (499 nucleotides) under uncultured Glomeromycotina. RNAcentral's name for it is "partial small subunit ribosomal RNA". It matches the Rfam family "Eukaryotic small subunit ribosomal RNA", at positions 591 to 1092 of the family's 1831-position model. The record is from RNAcentral. Lineage: Eukaryota; Fungi; Glomeromycota.
CCAAUAGCGUAUAUUAAAGUUGUUGCAGUUAAAAAGCUCGUAGCUGAAUUUCGGGACCAAUAUGUCGGUCGUGCUUCGGUACGUACUUGCAUUAUUGGUUUCUCCCUUCUGAAGAACCAUGAUGUCAUUAAUUUGGUGUCUUGGGAAAUCAGGACUGUUACUUUGAAAAAAUUAGAGUGUUUAAAGCAGGCUCACGCUUGAAUACAUUAGCAUGGAAUAAUGAAAUAGGACGUUUGAUUCUAUUUUGUUGGUUUCUAGGAUCGACGUAAUGAUUAAUAGGGAUAGUUGGGGGCAUUAGUAUUCAAUUGUCAGAGGUGAAAUUCUUGGAUUUAUUGAAGACUAACUACUGCGAAAGCAUUUGCCAAGGAUGUUUUCAUUAAUCAAGAACGAAAGUUAGGGGAUCGAAGACGAUCAGAUACCGUCGUAGUCUUAACCAUAAACUAUGCCGACUAGGGAUCGGAUGAUGUUAAUUUUUUAAUGACUCAUUCGGCGCCUUACG